CCUACGGGAGGCAGCAGUAGGGAAUCUUUCACAAUGGGCGAAAGCCUGAUGGAGCAACGCCGCGUGCAGGAGGAAGGCCUUCUGGGUGUAAACUGCUUUUAUAAGCGAGAAAUAUGAUGGUAACUUAUGAAUAAGGAUCGACUAACGACGUGCUAGCAGCCGCGGUCAUACGUAGGAGCCGAGCAUUAUCCGGAGUGACUGGGUGUAAAGAGUUGCGUAGGUGGCAUAAUAAGUAGCUAGUGAAAUCUGGUGGCUCAACCAUUCAGUCUAUUAGCUAAACUGUGAAGCUCGAGAGCGUGAGGGGUAACUGGAAUUUCUAGUGUAGGAGUGAAAUGCGUAGAUAUUAGACGGAACACCAAUAGCGUAGGCAGGUUACUGGGACGGUUCUGACACUCAGGCACGAAAGCGUAGGGAGCAAACGGGAUUAGAUACCCCAGUAGUC
This 442-nucleotide ribosomal RNA is filed under the name uncultured bacterium. Its description in RNAcentral is "partial 16S ribosomal RNA". It matches the Rfam family "Bacterial small subunit ribosomal RNA", at positions 338 to 795 of the family's 1533-position model. The record is from RNAcentral.